Molecule: long non-coding RNA, 2621 nt
Organism: Mirounga angustirostris (Northern elephant seal)
Lineage: Eukaryota; Metazoa; Chordata; Mammalia; Carnivora; Phocidae
Exons: 3
Source: RefSeq, a predicted model, not a curated record
CCGGGAGGGAUCGGGCGUGCUUGGUCCACUACGGGUCAUCCAGUGCAGUGCUCCGCACAGAGGAGGUGCUCAGCAAAUAUUUCUUCCAUGAGUCAGUGCGUGGAACUUUGUCACCAGAAGAAAGGAUCCAAGACAUAAGCGAUGUGUUGGUUGUCUAAGAAGGGGGUACUCCCGGAGAAGAGUAACCUUUACACCGUUUUUGGCUCUGCCCUCCGAAAUGUUACUGAUGGGUUUGUUUUGUGUGGGUAGACUAAGGAGGCAGGAAAAAAGGUUUGGAACCACUGGACCAAUUAGUAAUUUCCCAGACUGAUUCGUAGGAGGGGAAUAUUUUUAAGUGUAUUUUCACCUGGAUGUCUAAACAAAUCACAGAGAUUAACAACAACAACAAAACCAAUAGUUGCUCUUCUGACGGAUCCUCAGUGAAGAGUUGGUUUUCAAAAUCAUUCAUCCGGUGCCUGGUGGGUUCUGUCUAUAAAGCGUGGGACUCUUGAUCUCCGGGUCAUGAGUUCGAGCCCCACAAUGGGAUCCUACUUAAAAAAAAAAAAGAAAGAAAGAAAGAAAGAAAAACAUUCAUCUGCUGCUACUCCAGGGUUACUGGUAAAGAACUGAGGCCCAGAUGGAUGAUAACUAAAAUUAUUGUGGUAAUCUUUUCAUAAUAUAUGUAUGUCAAGUCAUUAUGCUGUACAUCUUAAACUUAUAGUGUUGUAUGUCAAUUAUAUCUUAAUGAAACAAAAAAUAAGUAAAUGGUUUAAUUUAAAAAACAGUACUGAAGCCCAGAGAGGCUAAGUGACUUACUUAGUGCCACACAGCGAAGAAGGAAAGAAAGAGGGCAACAACAACUAAAAAACCACAGGAAUUUGAGUAAAAGCCAAGAGAAAAUGAUGGCUUGCAGUUCAGAUUCUACUUGUUGCCUAUUUUUAUACAACUUGAGGUCAAAGAAUUUUUUUACACUUUUAAAUGGUUAAAAAAUCAAGAAGAAUAUUAUUUUGUGACUUGUGAUUAUAUGAAAUUCAUAUGUCAGUGUCCACAAAUAAAGUUUUGUUGGUACACAGCCAUGCCCAUUCACUUACUGCUGCUUUCAACACUACAAAGGUAGAACUGAGUAGUUAGUACGCAAACUAUAAGUGGCCCACAAAGCCUGAAAUAUUUACCAUCUGGCCCUUUACAGAAAAAGUUUGCUUAGUUCAGGUCUGGAAUUCUCAGGGGUUCCUUAGGUUUUCAACUACUUUAGAAAGCCUUAGAUGCUGGGAUCUGGGUGGAUUAUGUGACAGUGAGUGGUGAGGGGAGAGAGGACUGCAGAUACUGGGGUCCUUUGAUUAAAGGCCUAGAAAGCAAGGGCAAGUUCACGGCCAGCUGUAGGCAGUACAGGAAAGAGAGCAGGUCUAAUCUAAGCUAGGUAAUUAUGAAAUCAGGGACAACCUGACUUUUUGAGACUCUCCUAUGGUCUCUUCUGGGUACUGUAGGGUUUAUAAACAAGUUCCUAGGAUGCUGCACAAGAGGCUCACAGUGCUGUUCGAAGACUGUCUACACACCAUGAAUGCAAGCGGCAGCCUGUAUGUGCUGCCUUCUGUCCGGUGCGUGGCCAUCCUCACGGUGGCCGGGAGAAGAAAGAACCUCGGGGAACAUCGCCUGGCUUUUAGAACUCUGUCUCUGAGAUUCUUAGCCCCGUGAUUAAAGCACGUCUCUAGGAGAUACGGCCGACCUUUGCUCAGCAUUCAGUACAGCGCAGAGGGCAUGCGUUCCGAGGGGGCACCCACUUGGAUAAUUUCACGUGAGCAGACUUGCCCCGGCCUGGAAUUUUCAAUAAGAACCGGUGCCGAACUCUAGUCUUCCUAAUCAGUGUCCCAUUGACAAGGCGUUCGAAUACACUCAUAGGCACGGCAGGAAAAUCCACCCCAAGGACUGCUCCGAAGCGUGGUUGUUAUCGUGUCAUGGCAUCCAAAUAAAGACACAGAGAGGUCUUGGAAAUUCCAAUUCCUGCAGUGGCCAGGCGGAUAACUGAGGGGGUCAAAAGGAUAAGAAAGAGCACUGGCCCUCUAACUCCUUGCUGGCAGGCUGUGGAAGGAGAGGAGACGAUAGAGCAGAGAGGCUGCCUGCACGUUUAAAGGAAACAGCUACCGUUCGGCGCUGGCCAGUUGUUCCUCUAGAGAAAAAACCCUUUUUUUUAAAGUUGCAAAUCAAAUUUAUAUGGGAAAUCUGCGGGCUUUAAAUAUUGGCAGUAGGGGCGCCUGGGUGGCUCAGUCGUUAAGCGUCUGCCUUCGGCUCGGGUCAUGAUCCUGGGGUUCUGGGAUGGAGUCCCAAAUAGGGCUCCCUGCUUCGCGGGAAGCCGGCUUCUCCCUCUCCCACUCUCCCUGCUUGUGUUCCCUCUCUUGCUGGGUUUCUCUCUGUCAAAUAAAUAAAUUAAAUCUUAAAAAAAAUAUAUUGGCAGUAAUUCAGAAUUGUGAAAUACGGUGUAGGCCAAAUAAACACCUUCGCAGGCUGUGUUUGGGGUUGUAAGUCUGCUCUGUGAGCAAGUAGGAGCCUGCUCUGAGGAAAUAGUGUAGGAAGACUUCCUUUGGCUUAGUAAAAGCCACUUUAUUUAUUUUUUUAAAGAUUUUAUUUAUGUAUUUGACAGACAGAGA